CCUACGGGAGGCAGCAGUGGGGAAUUUUGCGCAAUGCUCGUAAGAGUGACGCAGCGACGCCGCGUGAAUGACGAAGGCCUUCGGGUCGUAAAGUUCUUUCGACAGGGAAGAAAAUGCCUAUAAGUAACUGUGUCUGUAUUGACGGUACCUGUAUAAGCAGCCCCGGCUAACUCCGUGCCAGCAGCUGCGGUAAUACGGAGGGGGCGAGCGUUGUUCGGAGGGACUGGGCGUAAAGAGCACGUAGGCGGUGUUGUAAGUCAUUAGUCAAAGACUAGAGCUCAACUUUAGUAAGGCUAGUGAUACUAUAAUGCUAGAGAAUAAGAGAGGAUGGCAGAAUUGCUGGUGUAGCGGUGAAAUGCGUAGAUAUCAGGAGGAAUACCGAUAGCGAAGGCGGCAAACUGGCUGGAAACUGACGCUGAGGUGCGAAAGCGUGGGGAGCAAACAGGAUUAGAUACCCGGGUAGUC
This 465-nucleotide ribosomal RNA is filed under the name uncultured bacterium. RNAcentral describes it as "partial 16S ribosomal RNA". It matches the Rfam family "Bacterial small subunit ribosomal RNA", at positions 338 to 795 of the family's 1533-position model. The record is from RNAcentral.